This 520-nucleotide unclassified non-coding RNA is filed under the name uncultured Diversispora. RNAcentral's name for it is "SSU rRNA". It matches the Rfam family "Eukaryotic small subunit ribosomal RNA", at positions 569 to 1089 of the family's 1831-position model. The record is from RNAcentral. Lineage: Eukaryota; Fungi; Glomeromycota; Glomeromycetes; Diversisporales; Diversisporaceae.
AGCAGCCGCGGUAAUUCCAGCUCCAAUAGCGUAUAUUAAAGUUGUUGCAGUUAAAAAGCUCGUAGUUGAAUUUCGGGAUCAGUACGCCGGUCGUGCCUUCGGUAUGCACUGGUGUCACUGGUUUCUCCCUUCUGAAGAACCAUCAUGCCAUUCAGUUGGUGUGGCGGGGAAUCAGGACUGUUACUUUGAAAAAAUUAGAGUGUUUAAAGCAGGCUCGCGCUUGAAUACAUUAGCAUGGAAUAAUGAAAUAGGACGUUUGACCCUAUUUUGUUGGUUUCUAGGAUCGACGUAAUGAUUAAUAGGGAUAGUUGGGGGCAUUAGUAUUCAAUUGUCAGAGGUGAAAUUCUUGGAUUUAUUGAAGACUAACUACUGCGAAAGCAUUUGCCAAGGAUGUUUUCAUUAAUCAAGAACGAAAGUUAGGGGAUCGAAGACGAUCAGAUACCGUCGUAGUCUUAACCAUAAACUAUGCCGACUAGGGAUCGGAUGAUGUUAAUUUUUUUAAUGACUCAUUCGGCGCCUU